CGGACGGGUGAGUAACACGUGGAUAACCUACCUAUAAGACUGGGAUAACUUCGGGAAACCGGAGCUAAUACCGGAUAAUAUAUUGAACCGCAUGGUUCAAUAGUGAAAGACGGUUUUGCUGUCACUUAUAGAUGGAUCCGCGCCGCAUUAGCUAGUUGGUAAGGUAACGGCUUACCAAGGCAACGAUGCGUAGCCGACCUGAGAGGGUGAUCGGCCACACUGGAACUGAGACACGGUCCAG
RNAcentral lists this ribosomal RNA (241 nucleotides) under uncultured bacterium. RNAcentral's name for it is "partial 16S ribosomal RNA". It matches the Rfam family "Bacterial small subunit ribosomal RNA", at positions 99 to 334 of the family's 1533-position model. RNAcentral also lists the same sequence under 1 other name. The record is from RNAcentral.